Molecule: ribosomal RNA, 274 nt
Filed under: uncultured bacterium
Lineage: Bacteria
Description: partial 16S ribosomal RNA
Rfam family: Bacterial small subunit ribosomal RNA
Source: RNAcentral
AGACGGAGGGUGCUAGCGUUGUUCGGAAUCAUUGGGCGUAAAGGGCGUGUAGGCGGUUCGUUAAGUCAUGCGUGAAAGCCCUCGGCUUAACCGAGGAAGGGCGUAUGAUACUGGCGAGCUAGAGUUCGGAAGAGGGGGGUGGAAUUCCAGGUGUAGCGGUGAAAUGCGUAGAUAUCUGGAGGAACACCGGAGGCGAAGGCGACCCCCUGGUCCGACACUGACGCUGAGACGCGAAAGCGUGGGUAGCAAACAGGAUUAGAUACCCCGGUAGUCC